GACGAUGCAACCGCAGAGGAUUUAUACAACUUUGAUGUGUCUGUUGCUCUAACGGAAAUACAGUUAGACGAAACAGACGCUGAAUUCACCGAAGCUAUACAAGAAAUUGAUGGCGAGAGGGUUUUUCCUUUUAGUCAGUGAGAGAUAGUGUGCAAGUCUAUAAAGUAAAGGGAGAGACAAAACUCGUGCUGCGUUGACUAUUAGAGGACGUGGUUUGAUUAUAUUACACCGAUUCAGGUCAGUUUGGCUACUGUUUCCUCUACUGAUGCUUUCUUCGAUGCUUUGCAUGGCCACUUUACACAACAUUCUGUCCAAGGAACAAUCAAGAUAAACUUUUAGAAUGUUUUUAUAUGGCUUGAUUCCUCGUUUGUGUGAGCAGCUAUAAAAUUGUGUGAGCAGCUAUAAAGUAGCAAAUAUAUUCCUGAGCAUAUUUGAUCGGAUUUUUAUAAAACACUACACCAGCAAAAUGUCGGCAUUGUUGGAAAAUGCUGUGAUUUUUCGUGAAGUUCAACCCUCGAACUCUGCACAGAAACUGUACGGAAAAUAUAGUUAAACUUUAUUUAACAGUCGGAGCAUUUUCCUACACCAGAGACUUUAUUACUAUUAAAGAUGCGGCAUGUACAGUCCAAUCUGUGCAUGUGCACACAGGAGUCCCCUUUUCAGUGGCGGCGCCAGGGGGGGGCAAAUGCCCCCCCCCCAAUUUUUUUUGCCCCCCCCCAUUUUGCCCCCCUCAAGGGGGGGUGUAGCUAAAGGCUACACAAGUGUUCUGUCGUUAUCGGAAAAUGUAUGGCUUAUAAGUUGUCAUU
Non-coding RNA from Paramuricea clavata, 806 nucleotides. Lineage: Eukaryota; Metazoa; Cnidaria; Anthozoa; Malacalcyonacea; Plexauridae. The record is from the annotation of a GenBank genome assembly.